CUAGACCUGAAAUCAGUCGAGGACACCCGCUGAAUUUAAGCAUAUUAUUAAGCGGAGGAAAAGAAAAUAACUAUGAUUCCCUUAGUAACGGCGAGUGAAGAGGGAGGUGCUCAAAGUGAAAAUCGUGGUACCUCUUAUGGUACCGCGAGUUGUAGCCUCUAGAGGCGUUACCAGUGGAGGGGCAGGUCUAAGUUUCUUGGAACAGAC
RNAcentral lists this ribosomal RNA (207 nucleotides) under Eimeria ellipsoidalis. Its description in RNAcentral is "partial 28S rRNA". It matches the Rfam family "Eukaryotic large subunit ribosomal RNA", at positions 1 to 200 of the family's 3401-position model. The record is from RNAcentral. Lineage: Eukaryota; Apicomplexa; Conoidasida; Eucoccidiorida; Eimeriidae.